GGCAAGAUGACUGAUAAAGGUGAUAAACUGUAAAUUUAUUUAUGAGAAAGAUCUCUCUUGCUA
This 63-nucleotide transfer RNA is filed under the name Chasmoptera huttii. RNAcentral's name for it is "tRNA-Tyr". The record is from RNAcentral. Lineage: Eukaryota; Metazoa; Arthropoda; Insecta; Neuroptera; Nemopteridae.